UACGGAGGGUGCUAGCGUUGUUCGGAAUUACUGGGCGUAAAGCGCGCGUAGGCGGCUUUGUAAGUUAGAGGUGAAAGCCCAGAGCUCAACCCCGGAACUGCCUUUAAAACUGCAUCGCUUGAAUCCAGGAGAGGUGAGUGGAAUUCCGAGUGUAGAGGUGAAAUUCGUAGAUAUUCGGAAGAACACCAGUGGCGAAGGCGGCUCACUGGACUGAUAUUGACGCUGAGGUGCGAAAGCGUGGGGAGCAAACAGG
RNAcentral lists this ribosomal RNA (253 nucleotides) under uncultured bacterium. Its description in RNAcentral is "partial 16S ribosomal RNA". It matches the Rfam family "Bacterial small subunit ribosomal RNA", at positions 524 to 776 of the family's 1533-position model. The record is from RNAcentral.